RNA transcript from Brassica napus (rape), 2607 nucleotides. It is a transcript of the gene named peroxisome biogenesis protein 5, with no coding region annotated. The record is from RefSeq and is a predicted model, not a curated record. NCBI's taxonomy places the organism in Eukaryota, Viridiplantae, Streptophyta, Magnoliopsida, Brassicales, Brassicaceae. The transcript is spliced from 16 exons.
AAUCUCAUAAAUUUAAAUACAAAAAUAAAACACAGCCACGAGAAGUAUAGAUUGGGGGAUUUGGAAGGGAAGGGAAGGUAAUGAUCAAUUCCAGCAGGCGAAGGAGGAGCCAAUAAUAACUACGGCGGAGUCAAAAACAUGGCGAUGCGAGACCUUGUCAACGGCGGAGCCGCCUGCGCUGUUCCCGGCUCCUCUUCUUCUUCCAACCCUCUCGGAGCUCUCACCAACGCGCUUCUUGGUUCCUCUUCCAAAACCCAGGAAAGGCUGAAGGAGAUACCUAAUGCCACCCGCUCAGGUCCUGGGCGGCCACAGUUUUACUCUCAAGACCAACACCUAACCUCACUUCCUGGUUCUGAGUUAGAUCAGCCUGUUCUGCAACCUGGUGCUCAGGGGGCAGAGUUCUUCCGUGGUUUCAGCUCUGUAGAUCAGAAUGGUCUCGGUGCAGCUUGGGAUGAAGUACAGCGUGGUGGACCUAUGCCUCCAAUGGGACCUAUGUAUGAGCCAGUCCAUCCUACAUUUGAGGGACCCCCACAAAGAGUCUUGUCAAACUUUCUGCACUCAUUUGUUGAGAGUAGCCGUGGUGGCAUUCCUUUUCGUCCACCACCUGUCCCUGUGUUGGGAUUGUCGCAAAGUGACAAACAAUGCAUACGUGAUCGUAGUAGCAUUAUGGCCCGCCAUUUUUUUGCCGAUAGGGGAGAGGAAUUCAUCAAUUCUCAGGUAAAUGCAUUAUUGUCAUCUUUGGAAAUUGAUGAUGGCAUUCAAGCUAGAGGUCAUAUUCCUGGGAGAUUUCGAGAGCUAGAUAAUUUUUGGAAUGAGUCUCAAGCUGUCACGAAACCUGGUUUGCAUCCUGCGGAUGGUUGGGCGGCCGAAUUUAACCAGCAUGGAAUGGAUCAUGGUGGUCCUGACGGAUGGGUCCAGUCUUUUGAGCAACAACAUGGUGUGAAUGGGUGGGCCACCGAGUUUGAGCAGGGUCAAUCUCAAUUGAUGUCAAACCAGAUGAGGAAUAUGGAUAUGCAAAAUUUAGCUGCAAUGGAGCAGACUCGUAAGCUUGCCCAUACACUCUCUCAGGAUGGCAAUCCUAAAUUUCAGAAUUCAAAAUUCCUCCAGUUUGUUUCAAAGAUGAGCCGCGGUGAGCUCAUCAUUGAUGAGAAUCAGGUCAAACCAGGAUCAGCCCCUGGGGAAUGGGCUACUGAAUAUGAACAGCAGUAUUUGGGGCCGCCAAGUUGGGCUGAUCAGUUUGCAAAUGAGAAACUUUCGCAUGGACCAGAGCAGUGGGCUGAUGAGUUUGCUUCCGGGAGAGGACAGCAAGAAUCGGCAGAGGACCAAUGGGUUAAUGAGUUUUCGAAGUUGAAUGUUGAUGACUGGGUUGAUGAAUUUGCUGAAGGGCCCCUGGGUGAGAGCUCAGCUGAUGCAUGGGCAAAUGCUUAUGAUGAGUUUCUGACUGAAAGAAAUGCUGAAAAACAAGCGAGUGGUGUCUACGUCUUCUCUGACAUGAAUCCUUACGUGGGCCACCCUGAUCCUAUGAAAGAAGGGCAGGAAUUGUUUCGCAAAGGACUCCUGAGUGAAGCAGCGCUUGCACUGGAAGCUGAGGUUAUGAAAAAUCCUGAGAAUGCUGAAGGUUGGAGAUUACUUGGGGUCACGCACGCAGAGAACGAUGAUGAUCAACAGGCAAUAGCUGCAAUGAUGCGGGCACAUGAGGCCGAUCCCUCAAAUCUAGAGGUGCUUCUUGCGCUUGGUGUGAGCCAUACCAAUGAGUUGGAGCAAGCAACUGCUUUGAAAUAUUUAUACGGAUGGCUGCGGAAUCACCCUAAGUAUGGAGCAAUCGCGCCUCCAGAGCUUGCUGAUUCCCUAUACCAUGCUGAUAUUGCUAGAUUAUUCACUGAAGCUUCUCAGAUGAACCCUGAGGACGCUGAUGUGCAUAUAGUGUUGGGUGUUCUCUUCAAUCUGUCAAGGGAAUUCGAUAGAGCUAUGACUUCCUUCCAAACAGCGUUACAAUUAAAACCAAACGAUUAUUCGCUUUGGAAUAAGCUUGGAGCUACACAAGCCAAUAGCGUCCAGAGUGCCGAUGCCAUAUCUGCUUAUCAACAGGCUCUAGAUUUAAAACCUAACUACGUUCGUGCUUGGGCAAACAUGGGAAUCAGUUACGCAAACCAGGGGUUGUACCAAGAAUCAAUCCCUUAUUAUGUGCGUGCCCUUUCGAUGAAUCCUAAAGCCGAUAACGCAUGGCAAUACUUGAGGAUCUCGUUAAGCUGUGCCUCGAGGCAAGACAUGAUUGAAGCUUGUGAGUCAAGGAAUCUCGAUCUCUUGCAGAAAGAAUUCCCGCUGUGAGUAGAAGCUAUGAUUCAUAGCAAUGCUUAGCAGUCCUUCCCGGUUAAACGAUUCAUUUGUUUUAUUGAAAGUUGCUAAUGGAAAUCUUACAAGCGAAAUCAUAACCGUGGAGAAGAACCUCCAAUACUGCACCAAUCGUUAUUCGGUCAUACCUUGCAUAUUCUGUUUCCAGUGAGUGAGUUUGGCUCAAUUGAAUUGUAAUCACAGGUUUUGUUUUUUGUUAACAAUUGUAAACAAAUUGUAAUCAUAGGUUGCAAGUAGGAUGUUAAAAUGGUAAAA